RNAcentral lists this long non-coding RNA (738 nucleotides) under Vitis vinifera (wine grape). RNAcentral's name for it is "long non-coding RNA (VVIN_LNC005689)". The record is from RNAcentral. Lineage: Eukaryota; Viridiplantae; Streptophyta; Magnoliopsida; Vitales; Vitaceae.
GAGAAGCGGUAAGUGGUCACUCCAGUUGAAUAUACCAAGCAGUUCGUACCCUUCACUCACCAGGCUCUCAAGCUCAACCGCAUCACCAGAAACACCUUUUCCAAAGUCGUAGCUCCUUCCAAACACGCUCAUCAUCACAUUGUUCAAAGACCCAAAAUGCAACACUUUCUUCACCUUCACCUCACCUUUCUUCUCCAUCAAAACCCUAAUCUCAUCCACCAUUUUCAACCCAAUAGUCCUCCGAAACUCCCCGAAACCAGCGAUUCUCCUCGGACUGAACAAAUGGGUGGCCGAAAUCCUCCUCAGAUUUCUCCAGUACACCCCGAACGGAGCAAAACCCAUUGCUCGGUGGAAUAAAAGCUCAUAAGCCGACUCCUUCACUGGUCGGUCCGCGAACGCCGAACUGUUCAGAAUCUCCUUGGCUGUUUCCGGUUGGCUGGAGAUAAUGAAACGAGUAAAGCCAACCGAAAAAGCCAUCAAUGGCGCAGCUUCAGAAACACGAGCCAGCUUGGCCAGAACCCUAUGAGUCAGAGAGCCAGUGAAGGCGAAAACAAGACCUAUCAGAGGUAACCCAGAAGGGCCAGGAAUGGCGCUACGUGCUUUAGCCUUGGACAUAGCCCAAGCUAAACCACCAGGCACAAGCCAGAAACCAAAGACGCCAACGAACAAAACCACACACAAGAACAGUUCCAAACUUAGAACUGGCGAGGACCCAGUUCCCGGAACGAACGAAAAGUA